Cannabis sativa is the source of this 1124-nucleotide long non-coding RNA. RefSeq lists it as uncharacterized. The record is from RefSeq and is a predicted model, not a curated record. The transcript has 3 exons. NCBI's taxonomy places the organism in Eukaryota, Viridiplantae, Streptophyta, Magnoliopsida, Rosales, Cannabaceae.
GUUGGAAAUUAAUAGUUCGGUCCACAAGACUAAAGAAACCCUAUGUCUUAACCCUAAUAUAUAAUGUAAUGACACAAACCCUAAUAUUCACUAUCACGGCAGCCACACUUUCUCAAAGAAAUAUUCAAAAUAUUUCAAACUCUAUUCUCUCUUUCCUUCUAACGGCAGCAAAGAAAAUUUUUGGGUUAGGGUUACAAAAAUUUUCCUUUCUCUUCUUCUUCUUCUCUCAAGAACAAAGUAGUAGUGUUCUAGGAUUUCUAAAGCUUUCUUCCUCUUCUUAUUUUUCUUCUACAGCCGCACCCAUUUCUUCAAGAUCUUUUCUUCUCACUUGUAAUGGCAGCUAAGGAAAUAGGUUCUAGAUUAUGGUUCUAAGUUUCUCUUUGCUCUUCUCUACUUACCCGAAACUACACCCAGAAAAAUACAAAGCUAUUAGCUUUUAUUUUCGGCAACAGUUAGGUUUUUCUAGGGUUCCAAAAUAAUUCUUUCUUCAGCCCCUUUUCUACCCGAAAUAAUCAAACCAAGAAAAACACUAACUCAACUCCAACCACUCAAAACCGAACCCCAAAAAAUCCCUUUGACUUUCGGCCAAGAACACAUCUAACCCGAAAAUAGCAAGAACACUCAACAUACACACAAAUACAAAUAUGAACAAUAUAGAGAUUAGGGUUAGAAAUACAAACAGAAAUGGUAAAGAUGGAGACACCAAAUUUGAUCUCGGAGUUCGCCCAAAACAACCGGCUACUUCUCCGUCAAGCCCUCAGCUUGAUUCCACUAAUCAUCAAACAAAGGAGGAGCUCACAUGGAGAUGACAACUCACAGCCAAAAGGCUCUCUUUUUACUUUGUUGUUAUUUCUGAUGUUGUUCUCUGUUGUUGUAUCUCUCUGGCUGUGACUCUUUAUUUUUGCUCUGUAUAUUAUUCCUUGUUGUAUCUGAGAAAAGCACCUCCUUUUAUAUACUGUUCUGUGAUCUGAUCUAGGGCAGAGCCCUAGUGAUAUUUGUAACUGUUUUUAUAACUGCUUCAGUUGUAACUGUCUUUAUGUUCUUUAGUCUUGAUAUUUGUUGUAUCUGAUGUAAGGGUAUAUUUGUCAAACCCUAUGAGUGGUGUUAUUCAACUUAAGGGUAAA